This 410-nucleotide long non-coding RNA is filed under the name Heterocephalus glaber (naked mole-rat). RNAcentral's name for it is "lncRNA (ENSHGLG00100039498.1)". The record is from RNAcentral. Lineage: Eukaryota; Metazoa; Chordata; Mammalia; Rodentia; Bathyergidae.
CCAGGAUAUGAGCAGCUCUCCUCUGUCCUGGCCCUCACAGUGCUGUUCCUGCCUUGGAGCGGGCCAACCAUGAGCCAAAGGAAACCUCUCCUCCUUUAAAAAGGUUGCAGGUGUCAAGUAUUUUGUCCCAGUGAUGAGGAAACUCAAAGUUGGCUGGGAUGCUGUGGAGGGAAUGAAAGAGUCCAGUGGAAUCCAUGCCCAGGAGGCAAGUAGGAGGAUCACCAUGGCAACCCCAAUCUGAAAACCAGUGCCAGCAACAUCCCAGCUACCAUCGGAUGCAUGGGCUACAAAACCAGGAAGAGGGAUACAUGCCACAUAUGCACCUGAUGGCAGUCUUGCAAGAACCCCAAGACCAUCUCCAUUUAUGUCCGCCCUAAGCGAGGCUGACCCCGUGGCCUCCACAGCUCCUG